ACCUCUUAAGCGAUUCAGCAACCCACCUCCUUUUCCAAUGGCUUCCGCCGUGGAUUCAUUGCCGGCAUGACAGAUGAGCCACGAGAACCUAUCGCUUCUCCUACUGGCGUCUUCAAACCGGAGGAACCAGAGCAACUAUCUCCUGCCGCCACAUCGGGUCUGAAACCACGCCAAAGAGAAGAGAGACUAACUCAUAGCUGACGGGGAAGAGAUCUCAUCC
RNAcentral lists this long non-coding RNA (220 nucleotides) under Capsella rubella. Its description in RNAcentral is "long non-coding RNA (CRUB_LNC002551)". Lineage: Eukaryota; Viridiplantae; Streptophyta; Magnoliopsida; Brassicales; Brassicaceae. The record is from RNAcentral.